CCUACGGGUGGCAGCAGUGAGGAAUAUUGGUCAAUGGCCGUAAGGCUGAACCAGCCAAGUCGCGUGAAGGAAGAAGGAUCUAUGGUUUGUAAACUUCUUUUAUAGGGGAAUAAAGGUAUCCACGUGUGGCUAUUUGCAUGUACCCUAUGAAUAAGCAUCGGCUAACUCCGUGCCAGCAGCCGCGGUAAUACGGAGGAUGCGAGCGUUAUCCGGAUUUAUUGGGUUUAAAGGGUGCGUAGGUUGUUUUUUAAGUCAGCGGUGAAAGUUUGUGGCUCAACCAUAAAAUUGCCGUUGAAACUGGAUGACUUGAGUGUGUUUGAGGCAGGCGGAAUGCGUGGUGUAGCGGUGAAAUGCAUAGAUAUCACGCAGAACUCCGAUUGCGAAGGCAGCUUACUAAGCCAUAACUGACACUGAAGCACGAAAGCGUGGGGAUCAAACAGGAUUAGAUACCCGAGUAGUC
RNAcentral lists this ribosomal RNA (460 nucleotides) under uncultured bacterium. RNAcentral's name for it is "partial 16S ribosomal RNA". It matches the Rfam family "Bacterial small subunit ribosomal RNA", at positions 338 to 795 of the family's 1533-position model. The record is from RNAcentral.